Molecule: ribosomal RNA, 255 nt
Filed under: Clostridioides difficile
Lineage: Bacteria; Bacillati; Bacillota; Clostridia; Peptostreptococcales; Peptostreptococcaceae
Description: partial 23S ribosomal RNA
Rfam family: Bacterial large subunit ribosomal RNA
Source: RNAcentral
CUUCCCAUACGGGUUGAAGCAUGACCGUAAGGACAUGUGGACAGUAUGGGAGUGAGAAUGUUGGCAUGAGUAGCGAGAUGUGGGUGGGAAUCCCACAGGCCGUAAACCCAAGGUUUCCAGGGGAAGGGUCGUCCGCCCUGGGUUAGUCGGGACCUAAGCUGAGGCCGAAAGGCGUAGGUGAUGGACAACAGGUGGAUAUUCCUGUACUACCGAUAACCGUUUGAGAGAAGGGAUGACACAGUAGGAUAAGCUAAG